UAAUAAUUUUUGAAAAAUUGUAUUGUUGUUGGCUGAGACACUGAAGAUGACAUCUAGUGGCCAGGUUUGUCUUCAGUUGUUGGGCGUAGGCUAGCCUUUUAAGCCCUUACCCUUUUCUUGGUUUUUUGUCAGCUGAAGCUUUUGAGAGAAAGAGUCGCCAUUUUUAUUUGUUAGGGGUUUUGAUGUUAGCUUAAUUAGCUUGAUUGCUAUUUGUAAUUUGUUAGGCAUUUCUUAGAAUUUGUGAUGGGUUUUAGUUGGUUCGGGUUGGCGGUUGGUGAUCUUGCUAUUUAUUUAUUCUUGAUGAAUUUUGAUGCUUUAAGACUUGGAGACCAUAUUUUCCACCACUUCGAGAAGCUGAGUAACAUUCUACUUGUACAAUGUUAAGAAUGGCACCUUUUAAUAAAAGGAACUUCAGCCAUCCAAUCUAGGACUUCCAUCCAAUCGUGCAGGCUGCAUGGAAGUCGCAUUUACCUUUGCUGUGAACAUCAUGAACACAUACACUAUUUGAAGUUUUAACAUUUUGGGAUUUUGUCAAGUCAACAGCUAUUUCCUUCAGGGUUGUGUUCUGUUAUGGAUUUUUUAAAGGGGAGUUUGUUGUAUGCAAGAAAGGCAGAUUCCGAAAGAAGUUUUGU
Molecule: long non-coding RNA, 632 nt
Filed under: Daphnia pulex (common water flea)
Lineage: Eukaryota; Metazoa; Arthropoda; Branchiopoda; Diplostraca; Daphniidae
Description: uncharacterized LOC124190129, transcript variant X1
Source: RNAcentral